GACGAACGCUGGCGGCGUGCCUAAUACAUGCAAGUAGAACGCUGAAGAGAGGAGCUUGCUCUUCUUGGAUGAGUUGCGAACGGGUGAGUAACGCGUAGGUAACCUGCCUUGUAGCGGGGGAUAACUAUUGGAAACGAUAGCUAAUACCGCAUAACAAUGGAUGACACAUGUCAUUUAUUUGAAAGGGGCAAUUGCUCCACUACAAGAUGGACCUGCGUUGUAUUAGCUAGUAGGUGAGGUAAUGGCUCACCUAGGCGACGAUACAUAGCCGACCUGAGAGGGUGAUCGGCCACACUGGGACUGGGACACGGCCCAGACUCCUACGGGAGGCAGCAGUAGGGAAUCUUCGGCAAUGGGGGCAACCCUGACCGAGCAACGCCGCGUGAGUGAAGAAGGUUUUCGGAUCGUAAAGCUCGGUUGUAAGUCAAGAACGGGUGUGAGAGUGGAAAGUUCACACUGUGACGGUAGCUUAUCAGAAAGGGACGGCUAACUACGUG
This 497-nucleotide ribosomal RNA is filed under the name uncultured bacterium. Its description in RNAcentral is "partial 16S ribosomal RNA". It matches the Rfam family "Bacterial small subunit ribosomal RNA", at positions 28 to 507 of the family's 1533-position model. The record is from RNAcentral.